This is a long non-coding RNA of Mizuhopecten yessoensis (Yesso scallop), 731 nucleotides long. RefSeq lists it as uncharacterized. The record is from RefSeq and is a predicted model, not a curated record. The transcript is spliced from 4 exons. Lineage: Eukaryota; Metazoa; Mollusca; Bivalvia; Pectinida; Pectinidae.
CGUCCAUGAAAACAGCAAGGGAAAUCCGUCAGCGGUUCUGGAUGGACAUUAGGUACAGCCGACCUGUGACCCAAUGUCGCAAGUGAACUACCCCAGACCGACAGGACUGUCUUACUGUAAGUGGACAGAACCCUGGUUAGAUACAUCUAGGAAGGUGGUCUGAGCUCUAGUUGGGUGAUUUGGCGUCUGGGGUAUCUGAAGCUGGAUAGAUUUAUGACAUUUCAGCUGCAUUAUUCACUCCUUUAACAAAGUUUUUAACCCUGGCAAACACCAUUAUUGAGGUACAAGGACCUUUAUGGUUAUAUGUGGGGAUCCGAUAUCAUGUACCCCUCCGUGAUAGUCCUGAGGGGAACAUGUAAUCAUACUGAGUCAAGUGCUUCAUAUUGGUUGUUUCCGAGCUGGGGUUAAAUUCUCUUGUGACUGGAUGGUUGGGUGCAGCUGAACUAGAGUAAAUCUAUUUUUGCAACAGUACCUCUUGCGUCGGAAAGUCUGACUAGGGUAAAGGUCAUCUGGUCCAGAAUAUCUGACUGACGGAAUAGGACGGCCUGCCAGCCCCCGGAGGAGGAGGAGGCGCCGUCCAAGGCGCAGAGAGAUCGUCGCCCCUCCCGAUUUCUCCCGGAGGAGGCGCCGUCCAAGGCGCAGAGAAAUCGUCGCCCCUCCCGAUUUCUCCCGGAGGAGGCGCCGUCCAAGGCGCAGAGAAAUCGUCGCCCCUCCCGAUUUCUCCCGGAGGA